RNAcentral lists this ribosomal RNA (492 nucleotides) under uncultured bacterium. RNAcentral's name for it is "partial 16S ribosomal RNA". It matches the Rfam family "Bacterial small subunit ribosomal RNA", at positions 29 to 507 of the family's 1533-position model. The record is from RNAcentral.
AGUGAACGCUGGCGGCAUGCCUAACACAUGCAAGUCGAACGGCAGCACAGUAAGAGCCUGCUCUUACGGGUGGCGAGUGGCGGGUGAGUGAGGAAUACACCGGCCUCUACUUUUUCGUGGGGGAUAACGAAGGGAAACUUACGCUAAUACCGCAUACGACCUCCGGGUGAGAGCAGGGGAGCUUCGUCCCUUUCGCGUUUGAAUGAGCCGAUGUCGGAUUUGCUAGUUGGCGGGGUAAAGGCCGACCAAGGCGACGAACCGUAGCGGGUCGGAGAGGAGGAUCGGCCACACUGGAACUGGGCCACGGUCCCGAGUCCUGAGGGAGGCAGCAGACGGGAAUAUUAGACAAUGGGCGCAAGCCUUGUCCAGCCAUCCCGCGUGUGUGAAGAAGGCCUUCGGGUUGUAAAGCCCUUUUGUUGGGAAAGAAAAGCAGUAGGUUAAUACCAAGCUGUUCUGACGGUACCCAAAGAAUAAGCACCGGCUAACUUCGUG